This 20-nucleotide small nuclear RNA is filed under the name Arabidopsis thaliana (thale cress). RNAcentral's name for it is "snRNA_00591". The record is from RNAcentral. Lineage: Eukaryota; Viridiplantae; Streptophyta; Magnoliopsida; Brassicales; Brassicaceae.
AACGGCUCUCUCGGGAGCUU